UACGUAGGGUGCAAGCGUUAAUCGGAAUUACUGGGCGUAAAGUGUGCGCAGGCGGUUAUGCAAGACAGAUGUGAAAUCCCCGGGCUCAACCUGGGAACUGCAUUUGUGACUGCAUGGCUGGAGUGCGGCAGAGGGGGAUGGAAUUCCGCGUGUAGCAGUGAAAUGCGUAGAUAUGCGGAGGAACACCGAUGGCGAAGGCAAUCCCCUGGGCCUGCACUGACGCCCAUGCACGAAAGCGUGGGGAGCAAACAGG
RNAcentral lists this ribosomal RNA (253 nucleotides) under uncultured bacterium. Its description in RNAcentral is "partial 16S ribosomal RNA". It matches the Rfam family "Bacterial small subunit ribosomal RNA", at positions 524 to 776 of the family's 1533-position model. The record is from RNAcentral.